Molecule: ribosomal RNA, 380 nt
Filed under: uncultured eukaryote
Lineage: Eukaryota
Description: partial 18S ribosomal RNA
Rfam family: Eukaryotic small subunit ribosomal RNA
Source: RNAcentral
CAAUAGCGUAUAUUAAAGUUGUUGCGGUUAAAAAGCUCGUAGUUGGAUUUCUGUUGGGAACGACCGGUCCGCCCAUUGGGUGUGUAUCUGGCUUGUUCUCGGCAUCUUCUUGGUGAACGUUGCUGCACUUGACUGUGUGGAGCGCUACCCAGGACUUUUACUUUGAGGAAAUUAGAGUGUUUCAAGCAGGCAUAUGCCUUGAAUACAUUAGCAUGGAAUAAUAAGAUAGGACCUCGGUUCAAUUUUGUUGGUUUCUAGAGCUGAGGUAAUGAUUAAUAGGGAUAGUUGGGGGCAUUCGUAUUUAACUGUCAGAGGCGAAAUUCUUGGAUUUGUUAAAGACGGACUACUGCGAAAGCAUUUGCCAAGGAUGUUUUCAUUGA